This 424-nucleotide ribosomal RNA is filed under the name uncultured bacterium. RNAcentral's name for it is "bacterial SSU rRNA". It matches the Rfam family "Bacterial small subunit ribosomal RNA", at positions 356 to 772 of the family's 1533-position model. The record is from RNAcentral.
GGGGAAUCUUGCGCAAUGCGCGACAGCGUGACGCAGCAACGCCGCGUGGGGGAAGACGGCCUUCGGGUUGUAAACCCCUUUCAGGAGGGCCGCAGGUUCGCCGGUGAAUAGCCGUACGCAUUGACGGUACCUCCGCAAGAAGCUCCGGCUAACUCCGUGCCAGCAGCCGCGGUAAUACGUAGGGAGCAAGCGUUGGCCGGAAUCAUUGGGCGUAAAGCGCGCGUAGGUGGCCAUGUAAGUCCGCUGUGAAAGUCAAAGGCUCAACCUUUGAAAGCCGGUGGAUACUGCGUGGCUAGAGUACGGAAGAGGCGAGUGGAAUUCCUGGUGUAGCGGUAGAAUGCGCAGAUAUCAGGAGGAACACCAAUAGCGAAGGCAGCUCGCUGGGACGUUACUGACACUGAGGCGCGAAAGCGUGGGGAGCGAA